AGACCCGAAACCCGGUGAUCUAGCCAUGGGCAGGUUGAAGGUUGGGUAACACUAACUGGAGGACCGAACCGACUAAUGUUGAAAAAUUAGCGGAUGACCUGUGGCUGGGGGUGAAAGGCCAAUCAAACCGGGAGAUAGCUGGUUCUCCCCGAAAGCUAUUUAGGUAGCGCCUCGUGAAUUCAUCUCCGGGGGUAGAGCACUGUUUCGGCUAGGGGGCCAUCCCGGCUUACCAACCCGAUGCAAACUGCGAAUACCGGAGAAUGUUAUCACGGGAGACACACGGCGGGUGCUAACGUCCGUCGUGAAGAGGGAAACAACCCAGACCGCCAGCUAAGGUCCCAAAGUCAUGGUUAAGUGGGAAACGAUGUGGGAAGGCCCAGACAGCCAGGAUGUUGGCUUAGAAGCAGCCAUCAUUUAAAGAAAGCGUAAUAGCUCACUGGUCGAGUCGGCCUGCGCGGAAGAUGUAACGGGGCUAAACCAUGCACCGAAGCUGCGGCAGCGACACUCAGGUGUUGUUGGGUAGGGGAGCGUUCUGUAAGCCUGCGAAGGUGGCCUGUGAGGGUUGCUGGAGGUAUCAGAAGUGCGAAUGCUGACAUAAGUAACGAUAA
RNAcentral lists this ribosomal RNA (608 nucleotides) under Salmonella enterica subsp. enterica serovar Infantis. RNAcentral describes it as "partial 23S ribosomal RNA". It matches the Rfam family "Bacterial large subunit ribosomal RNA", at positions 711 to 1315 of the family's 2925-position model. Lineage: Bacteria; Pseudomonadati; Pseudomonadota; Gammaproteobacteria; Enterobacterales; Enterobacteriaceae. RNAcentral also lists the same sequence under 2 other names. The record is from RNAcentral.